UCAUUUCCCUUGAAUUAACCCGACAUGGGAUCCAAAUACCUAAUUCGGAUCAUUGUGGUUCAUUCCAUAUAUACAGCAAAUAGGGUUUCAUCUUCUUCAACAUACUUCAUUCGCGACCUAGGGUUUCUGCAACUUCAUUCUUUCUGCCUCUCCUUCAUCAUUGCAUGUCUCAGGAUCUCAAAUCGUCAUCAGCAAGUUAUAUUAUUUCUGAUAUUCAAAUGUCGUCUACACCAAGGUAUGAUUCUGUUAUUUCUCUAUUGUUCAGGUUUUGAUGCUCAUAUACUUUAGGCGAUGAAUCUGAAUUUAAUUGAAGCAUAAGAUGGUUCAGAUCUAAAAAAAACGGGGUGGCCGGAAAAGACGAUGAACUUAUGUCUGUUUGCACUAUUGUUGAUCUGUUUAUAAAAUUAGGGUUUUAGUUUUAUUGUUUUCAGGGAUUAUUGGGUUUCAUAUUUAAUUGUUAUUGAUCCUUUAUGAGUCUCAGUUCAAUUCCCUUGAAUAUUUUGUUUAUCUGUUGAUGAAAUUAGGGUUUUAGUUGUUUUGUUUUUUGGGACUAUCAGUUUUUAUGUUUAAUUGCGAUUGAUUCUGUAUGAGUCUUACUUCACUUCAUAGUGUGUUUGAAUUCUUUUCAAUUAUUUAAAAUAUUUUGAAUUAAAAUAAUGUUCUUUGAUUUAUAUGGCUAGGGUUCGUAUGGUCUAAGAACGAGGAUGGUCUAACAAUGAGUAACGGGUAGGGUUCGGUGGACGGCGAUGAUCUAGCAACGAUAGAUGAGUAGUAUCAGAUCUAUCAAAGACAAGAAAGUGGUGACGAUACAUAUGUUGGUUAGAAUCGCUCAUGGUCAGGUUUAUCAGUAAUCAUUUGUUUCUUUUUGUAUCUUGCCGAUGUUCAUCUAAUCAUCGCUAGCUUCUACGUCUUUAAAGAACGGUUAAAGUUAAAAAGGAAGUUGAGCGAUGAAUCUCAAAGUUUUUAGCCGGAGGCCAAGAUAGGAGCAGCAUGACUGAUUUGGGAAAUAAUGAAAGGACGAUAAACAUGACAGAAGAAAAAAGGCUCAAAACCUAAACCUGGUUGAAAAACUUUUUAAAGAUAGAAAAGGGUGAACACGUCCAUAUGGUGAGUCUUCUAAGACUGUUGAAAUCUAGCAUAAAUCUUAUUAUUUUGGUUUGAUAUCUACACUUGCUUAUUGUAGUAGCAACCAAUGUAGUGCGUUUAGUGUUUUGAAUAUGACUUUAUUCCAAUGUUUCUUAUGGUUUAAUUAUUUCAUUCAUAUUUUAAGAGAGACUAUUGUUGAGUAUAGAGACUGUUUUAUGUGCGCCUUCACAACGUGUUCCUCCGAAGCAAUGGUCUAAGAAAGAUGGACGUGAAGGGACCAUUGGCAAAGGUAUAUAAGUUGGGUUAUCUAUAUGUGCUAAUUUAUUCUAAUAACCAGGUAUAUAAUGUGUGAAUGUGAAGUUGAAUCUCUUCCUUUAGUUGGCCUAAAUGCAAUGAAUGUCAUAUUGGUUGCAGCUAAGUGUGCUCCCACGAAAUAAAGUAGUCUUGGAGAUGUUGUCGGCGCGUUACCGAAGGCUUUGGCUCAGCGUUGUUUCAUAUGUGCUUUAGGUCUGCACAACUGCACAAGAUGUAGCUUAUGGUUGUUAAUAUUACAAUAAUAUAAAUAUCAUUGAUUGAGGUAAGGCCAAAAUGUCCUGCUUUUGUUUAUAGGUGAAAUAACAUUUGUUUUAUGUGUCCUCAUUAUUCAAUUGGUAUUGCUUUAAGUCUUUAACAUACUAAUAGUUAUUUCUUUUGUGUAUCAUGCGAAGUCUUGAUAUGUAUACAUGUAUUCGUUGUUGUCAUCUCUAUGAUUUCCAAACUGCCGACACCACCAAAAUCAACUUUCACUUUCUUAGCAAUUAAGGUAAUCAUCUAUUUAUUCUUAUUAAAGGUCCAACAUGAAUGUGUUAGUUGCGGUUUGCGUAACGUCGGACCCAACAUACCUACUAAUAUAACACUAUAAUGAAUUUCUAUGUACUUAUAUGAUUGGCCGUUUUCUUAAUUAGGGAAUAAAUAGCAUGUCUCUUGACUUGGCUUCUUUUAAAGUUGGUGAGGAGUUAACAUUUGGAUGUUGAGACCAGCGGCCAUGGAGCACUCAAUAAGAAUCACUAGCUUGAUGAUGGUAAGAAGAAGCAGCGAUUUAGGGUGGAAUCUAAUUAACAAAUAUGGCUAUUGAGGGAAAAAAGCUGAGCGACAAUGGUGAGAAGAAGGUAAUGAUCUUUCCCCUCUUCGUAAUUUUUCUCUCAACUGUUUUGCUGGUAAAAAAGUUAGUUUUGCCUAUCGAUUACUCUUUUACGAUGUUAAGCUUAAACCAAAAAUAGGUAUUAUACUUCAAAUAUAGUCCUCUUCGUAAUUUUUCUUUCAACCGUUUUGCUUUGCUGGUAAAAAAGUUAGUUUUGCCUAUCGAUUACUCUUUUACGAUGUUAAGCCUUAAACCAAAAAAUAGGUGUUAUACUUCAAAUAUAGUCAAAAUAAAUUUCAAGAAAAUAGCCUUAUGAUUCUGUUUUAAUACAUGAUUUACUUAAUUAUAAAAAACAUAAAUUUAAAGAAGGGAAUUGGAAAUUUUACUUCAUGAAAAUCAUAAAGGUGUACUACUCUUUUCAGAAUGACAAAAAGAAAAAGGACAGGAUCUAAAUAUAUGUUUUUCUUGAUUGUUCUUUACCGUUAUAUAUCGAUUUUCUUAUAGUUUGAAUUUGAUUCAAAAACAAUGGGUUGCCAAACCAUGAGUUGAACAGAAGGUUUCAAAAUAGAAUUUAGAGGAUUUAAGCAUAAAAAAAUAUGGUAUUGUCAGAUGGUUAGACUGAGAAAUCAUGGUGGCUGGUGAGAAUGUGAUAACUUUUUAAAGUGCCUAACAAGUGUUUGUGUGAAUGUUUAAAUGGAAUUAGUUUGCAACUUGAGAUUGAUGUAUUUUGUUUGUUUUUGUAGACAAGAUGGAUGUCGAAAGGAUAUCUACUAGGAGAUGGGUACUGACUUGGCCUUAAACCACAAUUGAAACUGUUGAUGAUAACCUCUUAAAACUUUUGGUCAACAAGUAUGCUUUCUCAAUUUUAUGUAAAGUUAAAGAAAAAAUGGGGCGUAUCUGUAGGUCUUUCUACUUGGAUGUUUCUUUAUCCAAGGGAAAACGUUUUGAUAACCUAAAAGCUUGGCAUGUUUUUGCUAACAUGCCUGACAAAAUCAUGGAAGUUUCUCCAAUAAUACAAGUGAUUGUUGUUGAACCGCUUGCUUUUGUUGCUCCUGAUAAAGAUGAAGAGUGUAUUCUUGGGGAUAUAUGGAAGGGAAAUGUCACCGGCAGUGAGAUAUCAUACAAUUUAUUUCCAAAGUUAGGUCAUCUGAGAGUAUUGCUGUUAAAUGCUGGAAAAAUGGUGAUCUCUUCUUAGUGGAGGAAGUGGUUGAUCCAAAUAAUACGUCUUGAAAAUUUCUAGAGCACUUGAUUGGUAGAGAAAGCGCAUUACUUCGUAGAGGUUUUUGGUUGAUAUGGAGAAUAACAGGGAUAAUGUAAAGUAACCCAAAAGAGCGUAAAAUGUCCAUGAAGCAAAAGAUGCAAGCGAACCAUUUUUGAAAGUCCAUGGACGUCUAUUGAUCUUUACGGGUCAAUUAAUUUAGGAUUUUAAAUAGGAUAACGAAUUAAAUGGAAAAUAGAAAAAAAAAUUAAUAUUGAA
Helianthus annuus (common sunflower) is the source of this 3683-nucleotide RNA transcript. RefSeq lists it as uncharacterized. Lineage: Eukaryota; Viridiplantae; Streptophyta; Magnoliopsida; Asterales; Asteraceae. The record is from RefSeq and is a predicted model, not a curated record. The transcript is spliced from 9 exons.